This 440-nucleotide long non-coding RNA is filed under the name Homo sapiens (human). Its description in RNAcentral is "non-protein coding lnc-TRAF5-11:1". Lineage: Eukaryota; Metazoa; Chordata; Mammalia; Primates; Hominidae. The record is from RNAcentral.
AAAGAAAAAAAAAAAAAAGAAAGAAAGGAAAGGAAAUAAAAUGAAACAGGUUUCCGUUCACCGGACUCCAUCUGCAAAUGACCUCCCUAAGGAAUGGCACAAGGAGAAUGGGAAGCACUACUGUAACAGCACAAGAAAUCAGAAGUUGAUUAAUUUAACUGGCUUAUCUGAUAUGGCUCCACCCCCACACCCAACCUAGUUCCUCCAAUGCAUAUGGACAUCAAGCUGCCCAUUUUCAGUUGCGAUUCUGGAUGUCCACAGACCACAAUUUCAUCUUCUGUGAAGGCUAUGCCCAGAGAGGCAGCCACGGCCCUCCUCACAACACAGCCCAGAUGCUCUCUGCAGCCCUUGGCCUGUUUGCCAGGCCGGGUUCUGCUUAUGCCCUGGAGUGAGCAAUGCCCAGGGCCUACAAAGCCUGUUCCCGUGCAAACUCGGCUACU